AUGUGCAGGAACCUGAACUCAAUCUCUUCAAAAUUCUGGUGGGCGGCGACGAAUGAUGAACGUAACGUACAUUGGAUAUCUUGGCAGAAAAUGUGUGCAGUGAAACAGGAUGGAGGAUUGAGUUUCAGAGAUACCGAGGCCUUCAACCAAGCGCUACUUGCAAAGCAAGCGUGGAGAAUAUUGAAGGUUCCAACCCUGUGUGCAAGGGUGCUCAAAGCAUGAUACUUCAGAGAGGAAUCGAUCCUAACUGCAACAGCCCCUCCUUCCGCCUCGUACACCCUUCGGGGGGGGGGGGGCAUCGAGCGUGAAUAUACAUCAUGCUAA
RNAcentral lists this ribosomal RNA (324 nucleotides) under Triticum aestivum (bread wheat). RNAcentral describes it as "partial small subunit ribosomal RNA". Lineage: Eukaryota; Viridiplantae; Streptophyta; Magnoliopsida; Poales; Poaceae. The record is from RNAcentral.